Long non-coding RNA from Peromyscus californicus insignis, 2592 nucleotides. RefSeq lists it as uncharacterized. The transcript is spliced from 3 exons. Lineage: Eukaryota; Metazoa; Chordata; Mammalia; Rodentia; Cricetidae. The record is from RefSeq and is a predicted model, not a curated record.
UUGUGUCGAGAGAGUCCUCAUUUCCUCUAGAUGCCUCCUCCCCUGACCCUCCACUCCUGUAGGAUAUUGGUUAGCACCUUCUGAAGGGACAGGUAAUCCCGGAGAGGGCAAGGGUUGUGGUUUUUCUUUUCUUUCUGAUUUUUUGUUUUGUUUUGUUUUGUUUUUUUGGAUAGGGCCUUAUGUAGCCUAGGCUGACCUCAAACUCAGUAUGUAGAGCUUUAGAUGGUCCAAGUGCUGACAUUCAGGUCUGUGCCACCAUACGCAACUACUGUCAUAUUUUGUGCUUAGCAGCCUUUUGUAUGGAGGUAUGUUUAUUCAUGUACUUUGCUCAUGUCAAAACUGACACCUAACUCUUUUACGUAAAAGUUAGGCUGGAAUUGGCAUUUUCGUGAACAUAUUGCCUAGAGAGAAAUGUUGAGAAUGAUAGACAGGCACGGUGAGGCCAGAGGAGGCUGAAGAGGGAGUCCUAGGGGAGGCCCAAGGAUCGGUGAGAUGGCAGAGAUCUGAAGGAGUACGGGAUCCUUUCAGAGUUUGGAGUAGUAAAGUGGAAACUUCAGGAUCGGCAGUGUGGAGACCCCAGGAUCGGCAGUGUGGAGACCCCAAGAUCAGCAGUGUGGAGACCCCAGGAUCAGCAGUGUGGAGACCCCAGGACCGGCAGUGUGGAGACCCCAAGAUCGGCAGUGUGGGGACCCCAGGAUCGGCAGUGUGGAGACCCCAGGAUCGGCAGUGUGGAGACCCCAGGAUCGGCAGUGUGGAGACCCCAGGAUCGGCAGUGUGGAGACCCCAGGAUUGGCAGUGUGGAGACCCCAGGGAUUGGCAGUGUGGAGACCCCAGGAUCGGCAGUGUGGAGACCCCAGGAGACCUCAGAAUAGGCAGUUUAGAGACUACUGGGACCGAGAAGUCACUAACACAUAUUCAUGCUAAACAGGGCCUAGAAUAAGAGAUCUUAUGGAAUCGUGAGAGGGGCCAAGGAAGGCUGGGACCUCUGCCUGCGCGUGUGGUGAGCCUGAAGACCACUGUAGGUCAGGGGAGGAGAGACGCUGAGUGUGAAGUGGAGAAAACCAAGAACAGCUGUGACCUGUGCCUCACCACCUCCAACUCUGGUAAGGCGAAUUGUCUAUGGAAGGACCCAGCCCCCUCGGCCGGGGAACUGAGCGCACAGGUGGUCCAGGAGCUAGAGAGGAUGGAGAUCCAACUGGGCCCGGGAGAGAUACAAGUCUGGCUGCUGCCUGUGCUUCAUGCAGCCAAGGUCAGCCCGUAGUCAGUGACAAUGUGAGCACAGCAACGCCUGUGCCACUGACUCACCGAGCACUGUGGUCGCCAAUUCCAUCCCGCAUCCCACUUCUCAGUGCUUCUAACAUUUCUCUUGUGGCCAGCCAUAGCCCAGAACUGUAAGAGGAGGAAUCUCCAGAAAAUACGGUCUUAUCUUCACUGGGACAGUACAGAGCUAACAAGUGGGCUCCAAAUGUUCCCAGUGUUAAAGGACCCGUGCCCAUUAAGAGAGCACUCCCUGGAUGACUGUAAUCUGCAGUUCCCACCUCAGGAAGCUUGAGUGCUCUCCUUGUCAGAGAUGCCAGGCCUCCAUCCCAGACUUGGGCCCAUGUACAUCUAUGUGAGCGUCUUAAUUAGGGUUUCUGUUGCUGUGAUAAAACACCACAGCCAAAAUCAACUUGUUUAUCAUUGAGGGAAGUCAAAGCAGGCACUCAAAGCAGGAACCUGGAGGCAGGACCUGAAGCAGAGACCAUGCUUACUGACCAGCAUUUCAUGGCGUCCUCAUCUUGAUUUCUUAUACAAUCUAGGACCAUGCGCCCUAGGAUGGCAUGGCUCCCAGAGAGUUGGGCCCUCCCACAUCAGUCAUUAAUCAAGAUAAUACCCCUACAGGCCAAUCUUAUGGAGGCAGUUUUUUCCCUCAAAUAAGAUUCCCUCUUCCCAUAUAUACCUGGGCUUGUAUCAAUGUAACAAGAACCAACCAAACAGUGAGUCUUACAAAUUUAGUACCCAGAGUCCCUUAAGGCUUUAACUGCACUCAGCAUUGGACAGUUCUGAUACUAAGUCUACACUCUGGAUGAGCUUAGAUCUGCCGAUGCCUCCUGGGUACCUGCAAAGCUCUGAAAGACCAUUCUCAAUGCUGAAAUUAUGCUAAUGACCCCAGCACUGGACAGAACCUGCAGGGUUUCCAGAACAUUCCAGGGUACAGAGACCAAAUAAGCUGCAUUUACCCAGGGUCAGGAGCUUCCACACCGAGGUCGAGAUGCUCCUAUGAAGCAGGAAGGUCUGUGGUGACAAAUUCUGUUCAAGAGGAGCAGGUGAGCUGAGGCCUUAAAGAAAUGGUCACAGGGGCCUUGAGGGCCGGUUGCAUAACCUGGAGCUUAAAGUUCUGCCUGGCUCUCUGAGGAGCCUUGGUUUACCCAUCACUUCAUUUACACAGUUUGAACGGAAGCAGGAAGGACCAUGUCCCUAUUGUCUGGGCUUUGGGUGCCCUCUUGUGGCGCAAUAUUGAUUUUGGGUUUCUGCAGCAUCUCGUGCCCUCUCAAGUGCCUUCAAGGUCACUGCUAUUAAAACAAAAGGGUGCCGGGCGGUGGUGGCACACGC